AGAGUUUGAUCCUGGCUCAGGACGAACGCUGGCGGCGUGCUUAACACAUGCAAGUCGAGCGAUGAAACACCUUCGGGUGUGAAUUAGCGGCGAACGGGUGAGGAACACGUGAGAAAUCUGCCUUCAACACUGGGAUAACUCCGGGAAACCGGGGCUAAUACCGGAUAUGAAAUCUGCGGGCAUCCGCGGAUUUGGAAAGUUUUUCGGUUGAAGAUGAUCUCGCGGCCUAUCAGCUUGUUGGUGAGGUAAUGGCUCACCAAGGCGACGACGGGUAGCCGGCCUGAGAGGGCGACCGGCCACACUGGGACUGAGACACGGCCCAGACUCCUACGGGAGGCAGCAGUGGGGAAUAUUGGGCAAUGGAGGAAACUCUGACCCAGCGACGCCGCGUGCGGGAUGAAGGCCUUCGGGUUGUAAACCGCUUUCAGCAGGGAAGAAGCGAAAGUGACGGUACCUGCAGAAGAAGCACCGGCUAACUAUGUGCCAGCAGCCGCGGUAAUACAUAGGGUGCAAGCGUUGUCCGGAAUUAUUGGGCGUAAAGAGCUCGUAGGUGGUUCGUCACGUCGGAUGUGAAAAUCUGGGGCUUAACCCCAGACCUGCAUUCGAUACGGGCGAGCUUGAGUAUGGUAGGGGAGUCUGGAAUUCCUGGUGUAGCGGUGGAAUGCGCAGAUAUCAGGAGGAACACCAAUGGCGAAGGCAGGACUCUGGGCCAUUACUGACACUGAGGAGCGAAAGCGUGGGGAGCGAACAGGAUUAGAUACCCUGGUAGUCCACGCCGUAAACGGUGGGCACUAGUUGUGGGGACCUUUCCACGGUCUCUGCGACGCAGCUAACGCAUUAAGUGCCCCGCCUGGGGAGUACGAUCGCAAGAUUAAAACUCAAGGAAUUGACGGGGCCCCGCACAAGCAGCGGAGCAUGC
This 919-nucleotide ribosomal RNA is filed under the name uncultured bacterium. Its description in RNAcentral is "bacterial SSU rRNA". It matches the Rfam family "Bacterial small subunit ribosomal RNA", at positions 8 to 942 of the family's 1533-position model. The record is from RNAcentral.